Molecule: microRNA precursor, 81 nt
Filed under: Podarcis lilfordi (Lilford's wall lizard)
Lineage: Eukaryota; Metazoa; Chordata; Lepidosauria; Squamata; Lacertidae
Source: RNAcentral
UCUCUCUCUCUCUCUCUCUCUCUCUCUCUCUCUCACACACACACACACUAAGAGAGAGAGAGAGAGAGAGAGAGAGAGAGA